This 281-nucleotide ribosomal RNA is filed under the name uncultured prokaryote. RNAcentral describes it as "partial 16S ribosomal RNA". It matches the Rfam family "Bacterial small subunit ribosomal RNA", at positions 524 to 803 of the family's 1533-position model. The record is from RNAcentral.
UACGUAGGGAGCUAGCGUUAUCCGGAAUUACUGGGCGUAAAGGGUGCGUAGGUGGUUUCUUAAGUCAGAGGUGAAAGGCUACGGCUCAACCGUAGUAAGCCUUUGAAACUGGGAAACUUGAGUACAGGAGAGGAGAGUGGAAUUCCUAGUGUAGCGGUGAAAUGCGUAGAUAUUAGGAGGAACACCAGUUGCGAAGGCGGCUCUCUGGACUGUAACUGACACUGAGGCACGAAAGCGUGGGGAGCAAACAGGAUUAGAUACCCCUGUAGUCCCUGAGCGGG